GGCUGCGAUCAUACCAGCACUAAUGCACCGGAUCCCAUCAGAACUCCGCAGUUAAGCGUGCUUGGGCCAGAGUAGUACUAGGAUGGGUGACCCCCUGGGAAGUCCUCGUGUUGCAACCC
RNAcentral lists this ribosomal RNA (119 nucleotides) under Helianthus annuus (common sunflower). The record is from RNAcentral. Lineage: Eukaryota; Viridiplantae; Streptophyta; Magnoliopsida; Asterales; Asteraceae.